CUAACACAUGCAAGUCGAACGGUAACAGGAAGAAGCUUGCUUCUUUGCUGACGAGUGGCGGACGGGUGAGUAAUGUCUGGGAAACUGCCUGAUGGAGGGGGAUAACUACUGGAAACGGUAGCUAAUACCGCAUAACGUCGCAAGACCAAAGAGGGGGACCUUCGGGCCUCUUGCCAUCGGAUGUGCCCAGAUGGGAUUAGCUAGUAGGUGGGGUAACGGCUCACCUAGGCGACGAUCCCUAGCUGGUCUGAGAGGAUGACCAGCCACACUGGAACUGAGACACGGUCCAGACUCCUACGGGAGGCAGCAGUGGGGAAUAUUGCACAAUGGGCGCAAGCCUGAUGCAGCCAUGCCGCGUGUAUGAAGAAGGCCUUCGGGUUGUAAAGUACUUUCAGCGGGGAGGAAGGGAGUAAAGUUAAUACCUUUGCUCAUUGACGUUACCCGCAGAAGAAGCACCGGCUAACUCCGUGCCAGCAGCCGCGGUAAUACGGAGGGUGCAAGCGUUAAUCGGAAUUACUGGGCGUAAAGCGCACGCAGGCGGUUUGUUAAGUCAGAUGUGAAAUCCCCGGGCUCAACCUGGGAACUGCAUCUGAUACUGGCAAGCUUGAGUCUCGUAGAGGGGGGUAGAAUUCCAGGUGUAGCGGUGAAAUGCGUAGAGAUCUGGAGGAAUACCGGUGGCGAAGGCGGCCCCCUGGACGAAGACUGACGCUCAGGUGCGAAAGC
Molecule: ribosomal RNA, 723 nt
Filed under: uncultured Pseudomonadota bacterium
Lineage: Bacteria; Pseudomonadati; Pseudomonadota
Description: bacterial SSU rRNA
Rfam family: Bacterial small subunit ribosomal RNA
Source: RNAcentral